CAGUCCCCAGAAGCCUGUGGCUCUGAUGUGCCCACAGUGCCUGAAAUGAGGAAAAGGGACACGGUUGUCAAAGUCCUGAUAGUCGAGCCUGAAGGAAUUAAGAAGGAGCACACCUUCAGUUCAUUCUUCUGUGCAUCAGAUGCUGUGCUAUCAGAAAACUUGUCCCUGGUGCUCCCACCGACAGUAGUGACCGAUUCAG
Long non-coding RNA from Acomys russatus (golden spiny mouse), 199 nucleotides. RefSeq lists it as uncharacterized. The record is from RefSeq and is a predicted model, not a curated record. NCBI's taxonomy places the organism in Eukaryota, Metazoa, Chordata, Mammalia, Rodentia, Muridae. The transcript has 3 exons.